CCUACGGGGGGCAGCAGUGAGGAAUAUUGGUCAAUGGCCGGAAGGCUGAACCAGCCAAGCCGCGUGAAGGACGAAGGUGCCAAGCAUUGUAAACUUCUUUUGUCAAGGGACAAAAUCAGGCUCGAGAGCCUGACCGAGGGUACUUGAAGAAAAAGCAUCGGCUAACUCCGUGCCAGCAGCCGCAGUAAUACGUAGGGAGCAAGCGUUAUCCGGAUUUACUGGGUGUAAAGGGCGCGUAGGCGGGAUGGCAAGUCAGAUGUGAAAUCCAGGGGCUCAACCCCUGAACUGCAUUUGAAACUGUCGUU
RNAcentral lists this ribosomal RNA (305 nucleotides) under uncultured bacterium. RNAcentral's name for it is "bacterial SSU rRNA". It matches the Rfam family "Bacterial small subunit ribosomal RNA", at positions 338 to 640 of the family's 1533-position model. The record is from RNAcentral.